This 271-nucleotide ribosomal RNA is filed under the name uncultured archaeon. RNAcentral describes it as "partial 16S ribosomal RNA". It matches the Rfam family "Archaeal small subunit ribosomal RNA", at positions 477 to 747 of the family's 1478-position model. The record is from RNAcentral.
CAGCGCCACAAGUGGCAAUCACGUUUAUUGGGCCUAAAGCGCCCGUAGCCGGUUUAGCACAUCUUUUGUGAAAUCGUCAGGCUUAACUUGACGAAUUGCAGAAGACACUACUAAACUAGGGACUGGGAGGAGUCAGAAGUAUUCUGGGGGGACCGGUAAAAUGGUAUAAUCCCCAGAGGACUACCGAUGGCGAAGGCAUCUGACCAGAACAGAUCCGACGGUGAGGGACGAAAGCCAGGGGAGCAAACCGGAUUAGAGACCCGAGUAGUCC